CGAGGAAGAGGAGUUUGUAUGCGUUGUGGAGGAGCUGCAGCAGCAAGAGGACAAAAUCGAGCUCAAGUUUCAAAUGAAAUUCGGGCAACAAUUAUUGACCAUGUCAUCAAUCAUGGCUUGUCCUGAGUCGGAGCACUGUGGCAUCUAUUGUCAGGCUUUUUCGGAAUGAGAACAGAAUCCACACAUUGCCACACACUGGUGGCAGAGGAAAGAUAUUUAGUAUUGAACAGGAGUCUGCCAUUGUAGAUAUGGUAGUGGCAAACAAUGCAAUCAGACUGCGUGAAAUCCAGGCAGCAGUAAUUGCAGAUCAGGGAGCAUUUAGAAAUAUAAACAGUGUGAGUUUGGCAACUAUAGAUCGAGUCCUUAAACGAAACCAUGUCAGAAUGAAGCAGCUGUACAGAGUUCCAUUUCAAAGAAACUCUGAGAUCGUAAAGGAGGCACGAUUCCAGUAUGUGCAGGUACAGAUUUGUUUUGUAAUACCUUGUUUUCCAUAGUUACAUGCGACUGGAAUAAUUUGCUUUAUGAAUUUGCUCUUUCUCUUAGAGAAUAAUGGAGCUUGAAGCUGAAGGGGCACAUCACAAAUUAAUUUUUGUGGAUGAAGCCGGCUUCAACCUCUGUAAAGUGAGGCGAC
Cyprinus carpio carpio is the source of this 631-nucleotide long non-coding RNA. NCBI's taxonomy places the organism in Eukaryota, Metazoa, Chordata, Actinopteri, Cypriniformes, Cyprinidae. The record is from Ensembl.